This 253-nucleotide ribosomal RNA is filed under the name uncultured bacterium. RNAcentral's name for it is "partial 16S ribosomal RNA". It matches the Rfam family "Bacterial small subunit ribosomal RNA", at positions 524 to 776 of the family's 1533-position model. The record is from RNAcentral.
UACGUAGGGCGCAAGCGUUGUCCGGAAUUAUUGGGCGUAAAGAGCUCGUAGGCGGCUUGUCGCGUCUGUUGUGAAAGCCCGGGGCUUAACCCCGGGUCUGCAGUGGAUACGGGCAGGCUAGAGGCAGGUAGGGGAGAACGGAAUUCCCGGUGUAGCGGUGAAAUGCGCAGAUAUCGGGAGGAACACCGGUGGCGAAGGCGGUUCUCUGGGCCGAUACUGACGCUGAGGAGCGAAAGCGUGGGGAGCGAACAGG